AAUUUCUCCUCCCCCUCCCGGCCAAGAUGUCUGACAUGGAGGAUGAUUUCAUGUGCGAUGAUGAGGAGGACUACGACCUGGAAUACUCUGAAGAUAGUAACUCCGAGCCAAAUGUGGAUUUGGAAAAUCAGUACUAUAAUUCCAAAGCAUUAAAAGAAGAUGACCCAAAAGCGGCAUUAAGCAGUUUCCAAAAGGUUUUGGAACUUGAAGGUGAAAAAGGAGAAUGGGGAUUUAAAGCACUGAAACAAAUGAUUAAGAUUAACUUCAAGUUGACAAACUUUCCAGAAAUGAUGAAUAGAUAUAAGCAGCUAUUGACCUAUAUUCGGAGUGCAGUCACAAGAAAUUAUUCUGAAAAAUCCAUUAAUUCUAUUCUUGAUUAUAUCUCUACUUCUAAACAGGUUAGACUCAAUUUUCCCCUCUUGGGACGAUCAGUGUGUUUAUUAUUUAUAGUAAGGGCUUUGUUCUUUAUAGAUGGAAAGGCCUAGAACUUCUAUUUAAGUAGUUAUGCUAGUUAUUAGUAUGCUUUAAAAAUGAUAAGUACUAUUUUCCUGGUUAUAUUACUGAUUAUAUAAUAGUAAAAGGUAAUAACUCCAGCUUGAUCUCUUUAAAUAAUGCCUUCAGAUGCUAAAAUCUGUAAACAACUUUUCAGGCUUAUGUUAGACUCCUGU
Molecule: small RNA, 668 nt
Filed under: Pan troglodytes (chimpanzee)
Lineage: Eukaryota; Metazoa; Chordata; Mammalia; Primates; Hominidae
Description: retained intron
Source: RNAcentral